CUAGAUGGUGUAUCCCUACAUAGCGGGUGGGACCCACGGCGAAUGGUUCAUCAAGUCUUCAAAAAAGAAUAUAUACGAUUGCAUUGCAUAUACUAACGGAUGCGAUCAUACCAGCACUAAUGCACCGGAUCCCAUCAGAACUCCGCAGUUAAGCGUGCUUGGGCGAGAGUAGUACUAGGAUGGGUGACCUCCCGGGAAGUCCUCGUGUUGCAUCCCUCUUUUAUGUUUAACCUUUUUUUUUUU
Molecule: ribosomal RNA, 243 nt
Filed under: Arabidopsis thaliana (thale cress)
Lineage: Eukaryota; Viridiplantae; Streptophyta; Magnoliopsida; Brassicales; Brassicaceae
Source: RNAcentral